RNAcentral lists this ribosomal RNA (203 nucleotides) under uncultured Geobacillus sp. RNAcentral's name for it is "partial 16S ribosomal RNA". It matches the Rfam family "Bacterial small subunit ribosomal RNA", at positions 1180 to 1382 of the family's 1533-position model. Lineage: Bacteria; Bacillati; Bacillota; Bacilli; Caryophanales; Anoxybacillaceae. The record is from RNAcentral.
UGACGUCAAAUCAUCAUGCCCCUUAUGACCUGGGCUACACACGUGCUACAAUGGGCGGUACAAAGGGCUGCGAACCCGCGAGGGGGAGCGAAUCCCAAAAAGCCGCUCUCAGUUCGGAUUGCAGGCUGCAACUCGCCUGCAUGAAGCCGGAAUCGCUAGUAAUCGUGGAUCAGAAUGUCACGGUGAAUACGUUCCCGGGUCUU